CAGAUAUUUCCUGCUCUAAAGCCUGCGUGUUAUCUUCCCCCUUUUACUUCCUCCUCACGCUGGUGGCUUAUUAGAGAUCACACACAUGCUGUCCGCUUCACUCAAACACUCAUCGGCGCAUGACACAUACGUGCCACGGAGAGCACACGUCCCCAUGGAAGCGGCACCAGGCCAACGCAGAUCCAACCACUGCAGGAUCGAGAAAGGUCUAUCCACUCAUCUAUCGUUCUCUCUCUGAUCUAGACUCUUCUCUUAGAGUAUUUGACAGACUGUGGUUGACACUCGAUUUAAGGGGGUGUCAGUUUGUCAAAUACCCCAAGAGAGGGGGCACGAGUCUCCAGAGCUCAGCGACUCCAUGUUUGACCUAAGCGAUCCUGUUACACUCUCAUGUUCAACCGUGUUUGCAGUACAUGUGUAAGUUUUAACUACUUUUGGUUAAGCAAAAUGUGUAAGGAAAACAAAAAAAAUCAAAUAUGCAGGACCACAGGAAGAGUUUUCCACAUAAUAAUUUAUUCAUUUAUAAUGUGCAUUUUUGUUCAUUAUCACUGCAAUCUUUCUGGGUGGGCGAGAGGGUAUUAAAUGCAAAGAUUGAAAAACAAAGAUGAGAACGUUCCAUUAAUGUAGUGUUGUCUGUAUCAGGGAUCAUCAUGUUAUAAGUCUUCUUACACUCUCAACAUAAUUCAGAUACCCAGCGUUCAGUGUUCUGAGGACACUGACAGCUGCUGAUGACAGUUGGAGUGAAGUUGUGAAAUGUGUUUGAGUCAUUGUUAUGUGUUGUAAUGCGUGUUGGAGUGUUCUGUAUUUCUGUUAAUUGAAUCGAAUGUUUUGUUUAUCUUUAGUAACUCAAUUCUGUGUACAGUGGUUGUUUGGGAAACACAUGAAAUAAUAAUUUCUCCUUUUAGACAGGACAUUUAAUCAGCAUACGAAAAAUACAUUUGCUUUUCCUGACAGGAAUACUGUUGCUUGCGAGGCUGCAUAAGAAUGGUUUGUUGAAUUCUUGUUUUCUGUGCAUCAUAAAUUGAACAGAGAAUCCCAACUUUCAAUUCUAAUGCUGAAUUUUAAUUUAUUUUGAAUUAAGGUAGCAAAUAUGUUUUUGUUGAAGUGUAAAGGAAAGUUUGCAUGUAAUACAAAUAUAUAUUUGCCAUGGUGAAUUAACUGAACUACUGUGUUGAAUUUCAGUAAAUUCAGCAAAUGUCACUUCCUGUCAUUCCAAUUCAGCUUCCUGUUGGGUGUGGCUUAUUCAAUACAAAUUCAAAUUCUAAAUCAUGAAUUGAAAGAAACCCAAUUCUUCUCUUCUGAACUUUGAACUCAUGCCAUACAUGAGUUGACACUCUGUGACACUCUGGCCAUACAUUUUGACACUCUGGCCAUACAUUUUAAAACAAAAAGUAUAAAGUUAUACAAAAUAUAUAAAAUACAAAAUAUAGUACACCUAAGAUGGAAAUUAUUAAUAAAACACUACAAAUGGAGUCUGUAUGCCAAAUAGUUUGAGCUAAAUGAACUGCAGAAGUUUGUAGUGGUGGGGGGAAAGUAUGCAAGAAAAAAAAAAGUCAAGAAUACACUGAUGCCCCUUGCAUCCACUGCAUUAAAAAGCAUCCUUCUUCAAGCAAAUCAGCUGUAAAGUCUGUUGUUUUAUUACAAUCCGAGGCAUGUAGUGCCCCUACAGAGAAGCCUAUGCUUAAGCAUGGGUUUUAAUGUCACCACCUGUCUAUUGUUUUAUGCAAUAAAGAGAAAUGAGGAAACA
This is a long non-coding RNA of Pimephales promelas (fathead minnow), 1744 nucleotides long. RefSeq lists it as uncharacterized. The record is from RefSeq and is a predicted model, not a curated record. Lineage: Eukaryota; Metazoa; Chordata; Actinopteri; Cypriniformes; Leuciscidae.